GACGAACGCUGGCGGCGUGCUUAACACAUGCAAGUCGAACGAAAAGGCCCUGCUUAUUUGGGGUGCUCUAGUGGCGAACGGGUGAGUAACACGUAAGUAACCUGCCCUUGACUUUGGGAUAUCUUCAGGAAACUGGGUCUAAUACCGGCUAGGAGCUCCUGCUUCUUGGUGGGGGUUGGUAAGUUUCGGCGGUUGGGGAUGGACUCGCGGCUUAUCAGCUUGUUGGUGGGGUAGUGGCUUACCAAGGCUUUGACACGUAGCCGGCCUGAGAGGGUCACCGGACACGUUAGGAUGGGGAUACGGCACAGACUACUCCCGGAGGCAGAAGAGCGGUAUCGUAUACAAGAGGAGGAACGAUGAUGCAGCAAAGCCGUGCCGGGGAUGCCAGGAAUCGGGUUGGAUACCGCUUUUGCCUGUGACGAAGCGUGAGUGACGGUACCGGGUAAAGAAGCUCCGGCUAACUACGUG
This 468-nucleotide ribosomal RNA is filed under the name uncultured bacterium. RNAcentral describes it as "partial 16S ribosomal RNA". It matches the Rfam family "Bacterial small subunit ribosomal RNA", at positions 28 to 507 of the family's 1533-position model. The record is from RNAcentral.